Molecule: unclassified non-coding RNA, 351 nt
Filed under: soil metagenome
Description: partial contains 5.8S ribosomal RNA, internal transcribed spacer 2, and large subunit ribosomal RNA
Rfam family: 5.8S ribosomal RNA (bases 1-120)
Source: RNAcentral
GAUGAAGAACGUAGCGAAAUGCGAUAAGUAAUGUGAAUUGCAGAAUUCAGUGAAUCAUCGAAUCUUUGAACGCACAUUGCGCCCGCCAGCACUCUGGCGGGCAUGCCUGUCCGAGCGUCAUUUCAACCCUCGCGCCGUCCCUCCAGGGGGCUCGGCGCGGUGUUGGGGGACACGGCCCCGGCCGCCCCCGAAAUGCAGUGGCGACCCCGCCGCGGCCCCUCCAGCGCAGUAAGCACGCUCGCUACGGGAGGCCCGGUGGACGCGUCCGCCGUAAAACGCCCAACUCUUCAGAAGUUGACCUCGGAUCAGGUAGGGAUACCCGCUGAACUUAAGCAUAUCAAUAACGGAGGA